AGUGAACGCUGGCGGCGUGCCUAAUACAUGCAAGUCGAACGGAGUGGCGCACGGGUGAGUAAUAUAUAGCUAAUCUGCCCCUUGCUGGAGGACAACAGUUAGAAAUGACUGCUAAUACUCCAUAGAAAGGGAUGAGACUAUAUCGUAUCAGCUAGUCGGUGGGGUAACGGCCUACCGAGGCGAUGACCCGUAACUGGUCUGAGAGGAUGAUCAGUCACAUUUGAACUUAGACACCGUUCAAACUCCUUCCGGAGGCAGCAGUAUGGAAUAAUGCCCAAUUGGGGAAACCCUUACGCAGCAACGCCGCGUGGAGGAUGACACUUUUCGGAGCGUAAACUCCUUUUGUUACGGAAGCGGUACCUAACGAAUAAGCACCGGCUAACUCCGUGCCAGCAGCCGCGGUAAUAC
Molecule: ribosomal RNA, 408 nt
Filed under: uncultured bacterium
Lineage: Bacteria
Description: partial 16S ribosomal RNA
Rfam family: Bacterial small subunit ribosomal RNA
Source: RNAcentral